UAGGGAAUCUUCCGCAAUGGACGCAAGUCUGACGGAGCAACGCCGCGUGAGUGAAGAAGGAUUUCGGUUCGUAAAACUCUGUUGUUAGAGAAGAACAGCGCAUAGAGUAACUGUUAUGCGUGUGACGGUAUCUAACCAGAAAGCCACGGCUAACUACGUGCCAGCAGCCGCGGUAAUACGUAGGUGGCAAGCGUUGUCCGGAUUUAUUGGGCGUAAAGCGAGCGCAGGCGGUCAAUUAAGUCUGAUGUGAAAGCCCCCGGCUCAACCGGGGAGGGUCAUUGGAAACUGGUUGACUUGAGUGCAGAAGAGGAGAGUGGAAUUCCAUGUGUAGCGGUGAAAUGCGGAGAUAUAUGGAGGAACACCAGUGGCGAAGGCGACUCUCUGGUCUGUAACUGACGCUGAGGCUCGAAAGCGUGGGUAGCAAACAGG
RNAcentral lists this ribosomal RNA (429 nucleotides) under Bacteroidota bacterium. RNAcentral's name for it is "Bacteroidetes bacterium partial 16S ribosomal RNA". It matches the Rfam family "Bacterial small subunit ribosomal RNA", at positions 355 to 776 of the family's 1533-position model. Lineage: Bacteria; Pseudomonadati; Bacteroidota. The record is from RNAcentral.